UAUUUAACUCAACCAAACACGUGUUUUCCAUCUGUCGUCACAGAGAAUGCAAUAAUGAUCUGUAUUUACUUUCCACCAGAAAAUCGAUAGUACAAAUCCAUCCUAAAUCCACCUUGGAACAAUAUGGUGCGAAGAUCGUCUACAUUCCUUACUCUGUAAGAACAUGUAUGAAUCCCUGGAGAAAUUGCAGAGUUGGAUGAAGGCUCUUAAACUGACACCAUUUACAUUUCGAGAUGGGUUAAAAUCAAAGACAAAAAAACCUCUGGCUGUUAUUUGAGACGUUGAAAAUGAGAUGCAAUCGAUCGAUUCCAAUAGUAGUUUUUGUAAUUAAGAAAUGCAGUUGAUGUCCAUUAUGUUUUACCUGCCGAAGAAACGAAAACAUUCUGCCAACUUGACCGCAGGCGGUACGAUUACGUCCCAGAAAAAUUUAGUUUUCUUUUUCUAGAAUAAGUCUGCGGUUAGGGCGCUCAAAACUCCGAAAAACUCGACCAAGCCGAGAACCUUGCGAAUGAAAAUGAGACAAAGGUGUUUGUAUUA
Molecule: unclassified non-coding RNA, 537 nt
Filed under: Pocillopora damicornis (cauliflower coral)
Lineage: Eukaryota; Metazoa; Cnidaria; Anthozoa; Scleractinia; Pocilloporidae
Description: adenosine receptor A2a-like, transcript variant X1
Source: RNAcentral